Molecule: long non-coding RNA, 375 nt
Filed under: Mytilus galloprovincialis (Mediterranean mussel)
Lineage: Eukaryota; Metazoa; Mollusca; Bivalvia; Mytilida; Mytilidae
Source: RNAcentral
CGUCCGUUUCACAUGCCAAACUUUUUUGGUCUGAAGCUUUAUCAAGGUGAAUUGUACCGUGUCUCCCCUUUUCAGGUCUGUCAUUCGUCUACUUCCUGUUUGGCGGGGGCAUCUGUGUCUCAUAGACACAUUUUCUCUGUUUUCUAUUACAGUUUAUACAGGAAAAUUUUGUUGACAAUUUUUUUUUCAUAUGACAAAAUAUUGAGGCAGCAGAUUUUUUAAGUCAAAAUCAGGGUCAGAAUAUUGUUUUCUAAAAACUACCAGGCCCCUUCCUCCAUGAAAAUUAAAUGGUCCGUGGCAAAAAUAAAAAAUUCCCACAUGUUCAACUUCAAAAUUUGACCAGAUUCUAUUCUUAACUGUCGGAUAAUAUACUAG